Molecule: long non-coding RNA, 257 nt
Filed under: Ananas comosus (pineapple)
Lineage: Eukaryota; Viridiplantae; Streptophyta; Magnoliopsida; Poales; Bromeliaceae
Description: long non-coding RNA (ACOM_LNC044614)
Source: RNAcentral
GGAUAUACCCAAUAUAAUCUCUCCAAAAUUAAAACUAUUUUACUUGUCUUUCCAGCUUCCUAAAUGUCACGGAUACUGACACGGAACACUGGACACGACACGACUCAAGACGCCAUGACUCGGCAACUUUCAAAAAUUAGGACACGAACACGUCAUAUGAACACUGCUAAUAAAAUAUAAUAUUAUUAAAAUAUAUAAUAAUAUAUUUUUAUUAUAUAUAAAAUAUUAAUUUUGGUAACAUAUUGUUAGUAAAUUUU